AUUGGAGAGUUUGAUCCUGGCUCAGGACGAACGCUGGCGGCGUGCCUAACACAUGCAAGUCGGACGGGACCGGGGGCAACUCCGGUUCAGUGGCAGAUGGGUGCGUAACACGUGAGCAACUUGUCCGUCGGCGGGGGAUAGCCGGCCCAACGGCCGGGUAAUACCGCUUACGCUCGCUCGGGGGCAUCCCUGAACGAGGAAAGCAGCCGCAAGGUUGCGCCGGUGGAGAGGCUCGCGGCCUAUCAGCUUGUUGGCGGGGUAAUGGCCCACCAAGGCGACGACGGGUAGCUGGUCUGAGAGGAUGGCCAGCCACAUUGGGACUGAGACACGGCCCAGACUCCUACGGGAGGCAGCAGUGGGGAAUAUUGCGCAAUGGCCGCAAGGCUGACGCAGCGACGCCGCGUGUGGGAUGACGGCC
RNAcentral lists this ribosomal RNA (418 nucleotides) under Gemmatimonadota bacterium. Its description in RNAcentral is "bacterial SSU rRNA". It matches the Rfam family "Bacterial small subunit ribosomal RNA", at positions 1 to 416 of the family's 1533-position model. The record is from RNAcentral. Lineage: Bacteria; Pseudomonadati; Gemmatimonadota.